ACCCCGGUAUUAUUGCUGUUAUGGGUUUUAAUCGAGCUUAGCCUUGUUCAUUUUUUUACACAACACCCCCGUAAAAAAUACAACACGGCCCGCUCAAGCCUGCGGUGCCCACGGGAGUCAGCGGGAAAAAAACGCCCCAAAAUGCCCCAAAAAAGCCACUCGGGCGCUUUUUCAGGGCAG
Molecule: small RNA, 180 nt
Rfam family: Pseudomonas sRNA P1
About the family: There appears to be two related copies of P1 sRNA in the P.aeruginosa PA01 genome and both copies appear to be located upstream of predicted glutamine synthetase genes.